UUCGCUUGCAAGCUUCGUUGCGUUCGCACGCCUUUUUCUGGCUCCCGUUGUCUCGCGUUCCGUCGUUGCUCUGGUGCCCUGGACUGCUGUGAAUGUGUUUUUAUGCCCUACUAGUGUUGCCUGGGGGUGCUUUUAUGUGUGCACCCUGGAAGAUAGGUCCAGAAGCCUUGCGAUUUCUUAGAUUAAAGAUACUUUCGACGUAUUCAUUGCGGUGAACAACGCGGUUGGGACAGCACACUCACGACGUGGGAAGGUCACAGAAAUGUUGAAAGACAUCAGAUGUGUGGAAACGUCGUAGCGGAUGAAUGUGAAUUAUGGAUCUCCAAGUGGCGUCGCCCGCGUCAUUUUCAAGAUUUUACCCGUUUUGAAGGCAAUAGGGCUGUUGAUAGGGAGAAUGCUA
This is a long non-coding RNA of Ornithodoros turicata, 400 nucleotides long. RefSeq lists it as uncharacterized. The record is from RefSeq and is a predicted model, not a curated record. The transcript has 4 exons. Lineage: Eukaryota; Metazoa; Arthropoda; Arachnida; Ixodida; Argasidae.